Molecule: long non-coding RNA, 587 nt
Filed under: Brassica rapa (field mustard)
Lineage: Eukaryota; Viridiplantae; Streptophyta; Magnoliopsida; Brassicales; Brassicaceae
Description: long non-coding RNA (BRAP_LNC005417)
Source: RNAcentral
UCAUUUGUUGAUUUUUUUUUAAUCCGUUAUUUUUAACUAACGGAUUAAUAGUUAGAUAGACAACUAAAAGUUAAAACUGGACAGCUGAAUAAAAUAUGUUUGAAUUUGAACAUAAUUGCUUCAAGCCAAAACUAAACAAGUCUUUAAGAAAUAGUUUUGUAGCUUUUCUUUGUUAGUUUCUUUUCCUUGAAUCAUGACCAAAAAAAAAAGAAAAAGGAAAAAAAAACAUACAGUUAACUUCUUUGCACUGAAUCUUUUAACUCUUUAAAUCAAAUCAGAACCAUUUGUUCAACUGUUACAUGAUUAUUAUCCGGUUCAAUCAAACUCAUGUUUAAUAGUUUCAUAUCUGCAUUUCGGUUUACUUGUUCGGUUUAGCAAAUAGUUUCAUACCCACUAUUACAGGAAUCAAUCAAACAAAUAACAAACUUACUAGUUUCUUCUCCUUUCUCUCCUCUCUCUUACUUUGAUCUUCAUCUCAUCUUUAUCCUCUCUUCAAACUCCGUGGACUCAGGUUCUUCAGGGAAUCCUCUUCUUCCUAUUGGUCAUCCUAGAGCGGUUUCCCCUUCUUUCUAUCCUACUAUCCCAUC